RNA transcript from Daphnia pulex (common water flea), 2086 nucleotides. It is a transcript of the gene named protein spinster-like, with no coding region annotated. The transcript is spliced from 8 exons. The record is from RefSeq and is a predicted model, not a curated record. NCBI's taxonomy places the organism in Eukaryota, Metazoa, Arthropoda, Branchiopoda, Diplostraca, Daphniidae.
CCCCUGACCAAACGACAGAUAAUCACAGUCACCAUUCUCUGUUUUGUCAACUUAAUCAACUAAAUGGACAGAUAUACAAUAGCUGGAAUUGUAACCCAAAUUCAAUGCGAUCUAAAUAUCGGAGAUACAGAAAGUGGCCUGCUUCAAACAGCUUUCGUCGCCAUUUACAUGAUCUGCGCCCCGUAUUUGACUAUUUGGCUACCUGGGUGAUCGAUACUCUCGAAGGCUUAUCAUGGCUGCCGGUAUUUUCGUCUGGAGCCUGACAACAUUACUUGGCUCUUACGUGACAAAUUUCUGGGCUUUCCUGGUCAUGAGGAGCCUUGUAGGUGUGGGAGAAGCUUCCUACUCAACCAUAGCACCUACCAUCAUUUCAGACUUAUUUGUUGGCGAUACUCGCUCAAAAUUUCUAGCCCUCUUCUAUUUCGCAACUCCGGUCGGGAGUGGACUAGGUUACAUCGUUGGCUCAGAAGCAUCUAGAGUGAUGGGAUCGUGGCAUUGGGGCCUUCGAGUCACGCCAGUUUUCGGGGCCGUAGCCGUGCUUCUGAUUUUGCUGGUCGUCCAGGAUCCUCCACGCGGCGAAUCUGAAGGCGCCCAUCUUUCAGCCACGAGCUGGUGGGACGACAUUAAAUCACUCGGCAAAAACAAAAGCUUUGUGAUGUCCACAGCAGCUUACACAGCGGUGGCCUUCGUCGCUAGAGCUCUGGCAUGGUGGGGUCCCAAGUUUAUCGCAUUGGGUUUGGCCACUCAACAAGGUCACCAGGAUGUUUCAUUGGAUGACGUAUCGUACAUUUUCGGCUUGAUUGCCAUGAUCGCUGGUUUGCUGGGCGUGCCCCUUGGAUCUUUCCUCGGCCAAAAAUUGCGCGUCCGCUAUCAGCGGGCCGAUCCCAUCGUUUUCGGUAUGGGUAUGCUGUUUUCCACUCCCCUCGUGCUAGCUGCGUUGUUUAUCGCCGGAUGGAACACCACCACUUGCUUUGUGGUCGUCUUCUUUGGUCAAGUCCUGCUCAAUUUGAAUUGGGCAAUUGUGGCUGAUAUCCUGUUGUAGGCUAUACGGUAAUCCCAACGCGACGAUCAACCGCUGAAGCGUUUCAAAUUCUAUUUUCACACGGACUGGGUGACGCCGGCUCUCCUUAUUUGAUUGGCCAGAUCUCCGAAAUUCUGAAGAAAUCCUUUUCGACUCCGGCUGCAUUCGUCGAAGGCGCCAUGGUUCUAAACUCGACUGUUUCGUCAAUUGUGAGCGACUUUGUUACGAGUUUACCUGAUUAGAAUGUCAGCGCAAACUGUUCCAGUUCAGGAACGUCAUCUAUAGAUCUCACCACUGUUGAAGGCGACUUCAAAGCCCUACAGUGGGCCAUGUCUAUCACGAUAGUCGUGGAAGUUCUCGGUGCUCUCUUCUUUUUCGGAACAGCAUGGUAUGAAUUCUUUUCAUUAAGAGAAAUCCAAGUUUCCCAACUGAAAAGAUUCUUUUUUAAAUAUACGUACAUCGUGGAGGACAAAGCCAAAGUUGAUCGCACAGUAGCAAGUCAGUGCCGUUUAUACUAACAUUUCAUUGUCGAAAUUGAUUGUAUCGCUUUAAAGUGAAGAUGCAUGAUCGUUUUGAUGGUACGUCGGUGAACUAAUACUCUUUCUGGUGGCUUUUGUCUUUUUAUGUAUGUGGCUCCUUCUGCUUUCUAUGGGUUCUUUCUUCCCGACUGGAUUGUGUGUCCUGUAUGCAUGUUUUUAAUCAACGCUCACCAUAAAAAUAAAACGCACAGACGGCCCACCCGUUUUCCGAGCCGUAAGCAUGAAGGAGUUGCCCGCGUCCUUGAUGUGGAACGGCCAUCCCUCUGACUUGGUGACGUCUAAAAAAAUAGGUUAGUCGGGCCGACUUUAUCGUCGAACCUAUUAGACAAUUGAGAAAUGAGAUCGUAUUGAUAAGAUUUGAUGCGUAGAUCUGUGAUGUUUUGAUUUGAUUUGAUUUCCUAUUGCGUUUGGUUUCAAAGUACUGAAUUUGUCCUACUUUUAAAGUGAUGUCACAGUGCACGAGUGUCCUUUAUGCAGAGUUUUGGCUUCGUUUCAAUAACGCACACUUCAGCUGAAGGGCUUUAAA